Molecule: ribosomal RNA, 549 nt
Filed under: uncultured bacterium
Lineage: Bacteria
Description: bacterial SSU rRNA
Rfam family: Bacterial small subunit ribosomal RNA
Source: RNAcentral
UGAGGAAUCUUGCGCAAUGGGCGAAAGCCUGACGCAGCGACGCCGCGUGGAGGAUGAAGGCCUUCGGGUCGUAAACUCCUGUCGAGCGGGACGAAUGCCGGCGGGGUCAAUAGCCUCGCCGGUUGACGGUACCGCUGGAGGAAGCCCCGGCUAACUCCGUGCCAGCAGCCGCGGUAAUACGGAGGGGGCCAGCGUUGUUCGGAAUUAUUGGGCGUAAAGGGCGCGUAGGCGGCUGCUCAAGUCGGACGUGAAAUCCCCCGGCUCAACCGGGGAACUGCGUCCGAUACUGUGCGGCUUGAGUCCCGGAGAGGGUAGUGGAAUUCCCAGUGUAGCGGUGAAAUGCGUAGAUACUGGGAGGAACAUCGGUGGCGAAGGCGGCUACCUGGACGGGUACUGACGCUGAGGCGCGAAAGCGUGGGGAGCAAACAGGAUUAGAUACCCUGGUAGUCCACGCUGUAAACGAUGUGCACUAGGCGUGGGACACGUCGGUGUUCUGUGCCGUAGCCAACGCGAUAAGUGCACCGCCUGGGGAGCAUGCUCGCAAGGGUG